Molecule: ribosomal RNA, 335 nt
Filed under: uncultured bacterium
Lineage: Bacteria
Description: bacterial SSU rRNA
Rfam family: Bacterial small subunit ribosomal RNA
Source: RNAcentral
AACGAACGCUGGCGGCGGGCCUAAUACAUGCAAGUCGAACGAGAAAAUCCGGCUUCGGCUGGAUGAGUAAAGUGGCGAACGGGUGAGUAACACGUGGGCAAUCUGCCCUUAAGUUUGGGAUAAGCCCUCGAAAGGGGGUCUAAUACCGGAUAAAAUCCGGAGAUGGCAUCUUUUCCGGAUCAAAGGCGGAGCAAUCUGCCGCUUAAGGAUGAGCCCGCGUCCCAUUAGCUUGUUGGUGAGGUAACGGCUCACCAAGGCUGUGAUGGGUAGCCGGCCUGAGAGGGUGAUCGGCCACACUGGGACUGAGAUACGGCCCAGACUCCUACGGGAGGCAG